GGUCAGAUUUAAGCAUUGUCAGCCAGACUUACUACUAGAAAUGCCAUUCUGUACUGGUUAUUGGGUCAAAUGUAAGCACUGGCUGCAAAGCUUACUACUAGAAGUGCCAUUCUAUAUUGGUUAUUGGGUCAGAUUUAAGCAUUGUCAGCAAGGCUUACUACUAGAAAUGCCAUUUUAUACUGGUUAUUGGAUCAAAUUUAAGCAUUGUCAGCAAGGCUUACUACUAGAAGUGCCAUUCUACUGAAGAUCAUGCAAGUAUAUACAAUAUGUACACAAUUUACAUAAAAUAUAUUUUGAUAUUCUAGCUGAUAUAGUAAUUUUAGAUAAUUAGUUUUAUUAUAUGAAAACCACGUCCAAUCUAUAAACUAAUCUUAGCUAGGGGCGAAUCUACAUACACAUCAUCUUCACAGGUCAAGGGUUAUUGCUUCACUAAGUGCGAGGUAACGCAUCAAUAACCUGUGAAGAUGCAUACACAUGAGGAAUAUCGAAGUACAUAUGUAUCUUUAAAGGCCAAAUUUAGCAAACAUUUGACCUUUAUUAGAACCAUCUAUACUAAGAACGGAGAAGGGUAGGUUGACUGCCUUUCAUUUUGUCAUUUAAUGAACCGUCAACAUAAUCAUGAUUUCAAUUCAUGAUGUACUCACACAAAAUGUGAAAAUAGCAUUACUUUAAUCGUACAUUGUUGCUCAAAUUGACUAAUUUGAUGGUUAAACAUCCAGCACAUGUUUGAAUUUACCUUUUACUUAUAUCUUAACAAUGGCCAAUGUGGAAGUGACUUUAAAUAAGCAAAACACAACAAAUGUUACAAACUUUCAGGAAAAUUUCGCAUGUUGAUUAUGUAAUUUCCUUAUGUUGCAUUGUAUUAUAUGCACAUGAAAUACAUGUAUUAAAAUAAGGAUUUUUUCUAGUCACGAACUUCAACAUUCUUACAAUCUUGGAAGAUAUAAAAGGACAGGUGCUACUUCAAAUCACCUUGGCCAAGGUUGAAGCGACUAUAUUAAGGAACGAGACUCAGGAGGAGGUGGACAUACCCUUAUAGACCUUUGAAGAACUAAAUUCACUGGAAGAACAACUAGAAUAUGUAUAAACCAUCAACAUUUUAUUGGAAAAUUCUUCGUGAUUGGUGGAGGUUAUAUUCAAACAAGUGUGAGAAGACUAGUGUCUUUUUGCUGAAAAACACUCUAGCAACUCAAUUAAAAUGAAAUGGAAAGGGGACCAAACAAGGAUCAUCAAAUCACAAGUUGAGAGGCAUGAUGAUGAAGGCAGUCAGGAAAAACAAAGUUUAUCAACAUGCAACUGAUAUUGAAAUAAAAAGGCCAUUAAAGAUUAGCCACGACACGGCAGGGAGGAAGGCGAAAAAGAGAAGAGAAGAAGCGGGAAUGGGAAUAAAAACAGGAAUGGGAGCAGGAGAGGUGGGAAAUGACCAAAGCAGCGACGCCAACGAAUGUUAAAAACUUAUUUCUCAUGCAGGAACUUUUUACACUCAUAAAUUCUCGAAAUGAUUUUACAUGCAGAACGUUACUGUAUGUAUAAUGUUUUCUGAUGUUAAGAAACAAGACUCACGUUUUUCAUUUCAGUCUGUUAAUUUUGCAAUAUUGUAGAAUUAUAUAUUUAAAAAAUCCCCAACAAGUUAUUAGCGUAAUUUGUUUAGUACUGACACUCAGACUUUCUGAUUUGUUUUGCAUUAAGUAUACAUUGGGAAGUUCGAACUUUAUAACGCAU
Molecule: long non-coding RNA, 1722 nt
Organism: Ostrea edulis (European flat oyster)
Lineage: Eukaryota; Metazoa; Mollusca; Bivalvia; Ostreida; Ostreidae
Exons: 3
Source: RefSeq, a predicted model, not a curated record